GUCGAGAGGCUUCCACAAUGGGGGAAACCCUGAUGGAGCGACGCCGCGUGGGUGAGGAAGGUCUUCGGAUCGUAAAACCCUGUCAGGAGGGAAGAAUACCGGAUUGGCUAAUAACCAUUCCGUUUGACGGUACCUCCAGAGGAAGCUCCGGCUAACUCCGUGCCAGCAGCCGCGGUAACACGGAGGGAGCAAACGUUGUUCGGAAUCACUGGGCGUAAAGGGCGCGUAGGCGGCUCCUUGAGUCGAGGGUGAAAACCUAUGGCUUAACCAUAGGCCUGCCCCCGAAACUGAGGAGCUUGAGGCCGUAAGAGGAAAGCGGAAUUCCUGGUGUAUCGGUGAAAUGAGUUGAUAUCAGGAGGAACACCGGUGGCGAAGGCGGCUUUCUGGUGCGGUUCUGACGCUGAGGUGCGAAAGCAUGGGGAGCAAACGGGAUUAGAAACCCGGGUAGUCC
This 451-nucleotide ribosomal RNA is filed under the name uncultured bacterium. Its description in RNAcentral is "bacterial SSU rRNA". It matches the Rfam family "Bacterial small subunit ribosomal RNA", at positions 354 to 796 of the family's 1533-position model. The record is from RNAcentral.